This 279-nucleotide ribosomal RNA is filed under the name uncultured bacterium. Its description in RNAcentral is "partial 16S ribosomal RNA". It matches the Rfam family "Bacterial small subunit ribosomal RNA", at positions 506 to 784 of the family's 1533-position model. The record is from RNAcentral.
UGCCAGCCGCCGCGGUAAUACGGAGGGUGCGAGCGUUAAUCGGAAUCACUAGGCGUAAAGCGUGCGUAGGCGGUUCGUUAAGUCAAAUCUGAAAGCCCACAGCUUAACUGUGGAGGGUGAUUUGAAACUGGCAGACUUGAGUAUGGCAGAGGUUAGUGGAAUUUCAUGUGUAGCGGUGGAAUGCGUAGAUAUAUGAAGGAACACCAGUGGCGAAGGCGGCUAACUGGACCAGAACUGACGCUGAGGCACGAAAGCGUGGGGAGCAAACAGGAUUAGAUA